AUAAAGAUCAACAUCUGUCUAU
RNAcentral lists this microRNA (22 nucleotides) under Heligmosomoides polygyrus. Its description in RNAcentral is "hpo-miR-10132-5p". The record is from miRBase by way of RNAcentral. Lineage: Eukaryota; Metazoa; Nematoda; Chromadorea; Rhabditida; Heligmosomidae.